GUCCACGCCCUAAACGAUGUCAACUGGUUGUUGGGUCUUCACUGACUCAGUAACGAAGCUAACGCGUGAAGUUGACCGCCUGGGGAGUACGGCCGCAAGGUUGAACUCAAAGGAAUUGACGGGGACCCGCACAAGCGGUGGAUGAUGUGGUUUAAUUCGAUGCAACGCGAAAACAAUUACCCACCUUUGACAUGUACGGAAGUCGCUAGAGAUAGCUUCGUGCUCGAAAGAGAGCCGUAACACAGGUGCUGCAUGGCUGUCGU
Molecule: ribosomal RNA, 263 nt
Filed under: uncultured bacterium
Lineage: Bacteria
Description: partial 16S ribosomal RNA
Rfam family: Bacterial small subunit ribosomal RNA
Source: RNAcentral